CCCCGUCAUGAGUACCAACGACCAUACCGGUGUUACAUACUCAACAAAUAUAUUUUCUGCACUCGUACGGUCAACUGCUAGCGUAGAACUGCAUAAUUCCAUGCUUCAUGCUGCAGCUUCAGAAUCGCAUGGCCCAUUUGCAAGAAGCUCAGAUCCAGCAUUGGACAUUGUUAUGCACUACAUCAAGCCCGUAAGGUGUGGUGGCCGUGAAUCUCCCGUAGUAGUGGUCGACCUUGCGAGACGAUUUAAUGUCCUAGCCUUGGCACAGCAAGUUGGCGAGCCACAUCUGCUGGACAGCCUAUCACGUCUGCAUGUGGUACACUGCCCUUGCCCAGAGUCCAUAUUCUGCACAGUAGAGAAACUGCUGCUCAGUGUUGUGCCUAUUGCACUGCUUGCUAUGUAUGCAGUACCCAUGCAUCGCUGGCACAGCCCUCACGGAAACUUGCUGGUGGCACGCCUUCAAGAGCUGGCCACUGCUCAUGGAGCCAAAUUCUAUGCGACACGACCCACAGUGCGUCUUUGGAGCAGACCUAAUGAAGCACGUCUUGCGUGUGAAUCUGGCAUCUCUGAGGCGUAAAUUAAACUGUUCUGGAGGAAACAAAGUACAUUACUGCACUUAACAAAACUGUUGGUGCCCAGGUAUGGCUAGAGAUAUCAGAGAAUUUUAAUUUGUCCAUAAACUUGUAUGAAUGAAUGAGUGAACCAGCACUUAAGCAGUACACGGGGUGAUCAUCUUUAAGUUCCUCAGAAUUUUUAAAAAUCGCUUGUUGCAGAUAGCAUAGCUUUUAGUCCUUGUGCUGGAUUAUUCAGAGAGGUGGACAUUACUUGCACAAGAAAUCCAAACAUAUUCAGCUUAAUAAAACAUCACUAAUUAAUUUCUCAAUUACAUUAGGUCAUAUAUUGCAAGUUACUAAUUGUAGCCGGUGAGUUUGCAAGGCUAUCCACUUGGAAUGAACUUCCAGAAUAACACUGAUUCGAAGAUAUGCACCAUCAAACACACCGUAAAAAUGCACUGUUGUUCCUCUUACUUUAAGAAAAUGCUCUUUUGUGCAUUGAAGCACAAAAGUAACUGGAACACCCAUGUUCGUCUAACACUUUGGGAAAUAUAUUGAAGCUGGUGUCAUCCUGGAGAUUCAUUUCAAGUGUAUAUGUAUUGCAAGCUCACCACCUGCAAUUUGUAAAUUGCAAUAUGUGCCAAAAAGUAGUUAAUUAUGAAGUUAAUUCGCGAGUUUUUGUUAAUUCGUUGAAUAUGUGUUUUGCUUUCUCGUGCCAGUAAUGUCAGCCUCUUCAAAUAAUGCAGCUCGGGGCCAAGGAUUAUGCUAUUUGCCGCAAGCAUCUUUUAACAAUUUUGGAAAACUUAAGAAUCAUCACCCUGUAUGCAAGUCACUACAGUAUGAGCUUUGUGUGUGCUCUGGUUAAAUUCUGCAUCAUCAGAUGUUGCUACCAGCAUCAUUGCUGUAAAGCCCCAGGGGCUUUAUGUUGCUGCUGUAUACCUCUCUAGUAACCAGGUAUUUCGCAAAUGGCAGUACAUCUACAGAUACACAAACUCUCUAUUAUAGCCUUUGUGCCCCAUGAACAUCUCUAUGAGGCAUUUUGUAUGCUAGAUGUGACGUGUUUUAGCUGCUCCCACUGUAGUGUCAUCUUCAUCACUGCUGCUACUUAUUCUUACAUAAACUACAUCCCAUAUCUACAUCUGGUAACUGUCCUUAACAAGUACCUUCCACUUUGCCCAUCAGUCACCCACUCCUUCAUUAGCAUGUUGGUGUUUAGCUCCACCUAUAUUGUCACCAAUAUUGUCUCAUCACCUCUUUUCAGGCUGAUCUCAUUUUCUUGUCACCAGAGAAGGUGAUCAUUGCAGAUACAGGUCUAACAAACAAACAAACACACCAUCUUCGUCUUCCUUGAUUAACACAACGCUAAAGAUCAACAAAUCAUUUUAUAAUGGAAACAUAUUCUCUCAAGACUGUUUCAUCCAUUUGGCAGAAAAAGGAUGAUUACUAUUGCUGCACAAAAUGAAGACCAAAUUUGAUUUUGUGCAUAAUUGUGCAUUUUCACAAUUUUUUUCCUUCAGCACUGAAACUUAUGCCUGUAUGCAUGUCAUCGCGACAUCAUGGAUUUGAAUCUGUUUUCUUCUACAUGGGUUGUUUUAGACCAGAAAAACUUAAACUUGCUAGGUUGUAUCUUUGGUUUCCUUGGAAUGCAAUGCAGCCCAUCUUUAUCGAUAAACAAUUCAACUGGACCUGAUUAGACACUGAAAAUCCACAACAUCACGGUGAGCUGAUGCGAAAACUUCGUGGUAGUGCCGUCACCAGUCUUUCAUUUUUGCACCUUUUCUAUAUUCCCAAGCUUCCUUUCGCACUAAGAGCAGAGGUUUUGCUAAGCAGAAGUGUAGUUUAUCAGUACAGUUUAAUACUUCUCUUUACUGUCCCUUUGACAUUUGCUACAAUGCCUUGGACAAUGUUUCAUGAACAAUGCAAUCACAAACAUUCUUGAUGAACCAUCUACUUAGUGUCUGCAGUUCAGCCACUUGAAACUUCUGUAGAUUGCAUUUCUUCACAUCCUUGCAAAACUACAAGUUAUACGACUCAUAAACUUGUCAUAUUUACUUAGCUAGUGCCUUGUUGCACCAAACUCCUAAAACAACUUUGCCAUCCUGUCUUGACUCUACAGCCACCGACAUCCCAUGCUACUUUCUUUAUCCACCACAGCACUGAAAUACAUGAACAAAGUCGUUGCCUCGACUGUUGUGCCAUCCAAUGUUAGGUCCUUGUUUAGGAGGAAGCUGUAGUUUGAUCCCAACUCCGAUGUCGCCUAUUCAAAUACAUGUAAAACACAGAAACGCUUUUCUGAGAUAACCACUGGGCCAAUUUUAAUGGAAUUUGUUGCAUUUGAAAGAGAAAGUUAAAUUCUAGUGACUGCUGGAAGUGGAGUUUUGAUUUAUGGCCUGAAUGUUUUAAAAGGUACUUUCAAAUAUUGAUAAGCUUGAAAAAAAAAAAAUGGAAGCAUGAAGCUUACAAAUUGGUAGCUCUGCACUAAGAACAGAUCUCGCAGUUUUGUAAACUGCAUCCAUUAGAGAAUUCGAAGCAGACAAAUUUGAUAUAUCAAAUUACAUGUAAUGUGAACUUUUUGCAGCUUUAACAAGGGUUUUGCAAAGUCCUACUCGCAUACUACUAGUCUAUUUGAGAGCCACCUAUAGUACAUCAAUUUUGUCCACUUUAGAUGUACUACUAGAUGCAAUUUACAGAAUUGUGAUAUCGUUUUUCAUUGCCGAGUUAGAGAGUUAUAAACUUGAUAGUUUCGUUUUCUGGAAAUUAGCGAUAUUGAACAGUCUUUAUAAAAGAUUGACGGCCUAAAUCAGAAAUUGGCGACCAACAAUCGCUAGAAUAACCCUUUAUUUUAACUGCAACAAACCGCAACAAAUUUGGUGCAGUGGUUGCUGAGAAAAACAAUUUCUCCUUCCCAUGUAUUCAGGUAGGAGCGCCCGAACUAAAGGUUCCUCUUACGGCCUUUCCGUAUUUAUUUUAUUUAUUUACAAUCAUCAUCAUCAUCAGCCUGGUUAUGCCCACUGCAGGGCAAAGGCCUCUCCCAUACUUCUCCAACUACCCCGGUCAUGUACUAAUUGUGGCCAUGUUGUCCCUGCAAACGUCUUAAUCUCAUCCGCCCACCUAACUUUCUGCUGCGCCCUGCUACGCUUCCCUUCCCUUGGAAUCCAGUCCGUAACCCUUAAUGACCAUCGGCUACCUUCCCUCCUAUUUACAAUACUGCUACUCAUUUGAGUCUUUCAGUUGGGCAAUACAGUAUAUCUUAAUGUAUGUCAGUACGCAGGAUUUAAGUAUAAAACAUGGUUAAAGCGCAUCUAGGCAGAAUAGUUAAAUGAAAAAAAAAAAUGCACGAUACUUCAGGCCAGGCACUCCAUUUUGCAUCUGUUAAGCUCUCAAACAGCAUUUUAUCCAGUGCUCCAGCUUUCUUCUGAUGAAGUGCAGAGGCAAACUGACAACACUUGUGAAUUCAUAUUACAAGAAAAUAAAAUAUGUCAACCAUA
Molecule: long non-coding RNA, 4042 nt
Organism: Dermacentor andersoni
Lineage: Eukaryota; Metazoa; Arthropoda; Arachnida; Ixodida; Ixodidae
Source: RefSeq, a predicted model, not a curated record